Perca fluviatilis (European perch) is the source of this 940-nucleotide long non-coding RNA. RefSeq lists it as uncharacterized. The record is from RefSeq and is a predicted model, not a curated record. The transcript has 3 exons. Lineage: Eukaryota; Metazoa; Chordata; Actinopteri; Perciformes; Percidae.
ACAUGCUUAGUCCUUGUUGCAUUAUUCAUUAAGAUGAUUUUAAACAGAUGUCUGCAGUUCAGAUAACUCUGAAUUGUAUGAGAACGUCAGUUUAUAACGGCCCACGUAUGAAAAAAGUGUCGGGUUGAAAUCGGCGUCAUAAUUCCAGUUAACGUGUCGGGCCGGGCUUGGACACAACGCAUGGGCUCGGGUUGGGUCGGGCUUACUCUAAAGACAUUCAUGGCUAAUAACUGUGAAACAGUUUGUGACACAAUGCUAUCCCUAACUUCACCACCAGAUGUCCUCAGAGUUCUGAAGCUUCGAGUAGUGAACCUUUUUUCGAUACAAUUGGCUUGAAAGCUUCACUGCUUCAGAAAGCUUCAGUUCGCCAUCACUAGUAAUUUAUUGUGUUUGUGCUGGUUGCACAAAGUCCAGUCUGUCAGGAAAUCGUGUACAUCAUUUUCCUUGUAGGAAAAGCAAGGUUUUUCAUUUUUGGGUGCGUUUUGUGCAGGUGAAGUGAGCAGACUUCACUGCCGCGUCUGUCACCACACACUCGGUCGUUUGUGGUGCUCAUUUCACUCCGGAGAGUUAUAGACCUGGAGAUUUGUUGGAGUCUCAGAUGGGAUUUUGGAGUAAGGACAAUGUGAGGCUGAUUACCGAUGCUGUUCCCUCGGUGCACUCGAUGGAAUCAAGUCCACCACCAUCAAAGCUUUCACCUGAAUCUGGCGUGGGCAGGACUGGAGGACCAAGUGCUAUAGCACUUGCAGAAAUUCCUGAACCGAAAAAGAGCUCUUAGCAGAAUUUUGGCAGAGCGUGCAGCCAGUAAUGAAGGGAUAGAUGCACCUGACAGAGGGCUUCUCUCUACAGGAUCCUGGACCAUUAGUGCUUCAUCGUGGGUCACAGUGCAACAUCAGAUGUCUGCAAAGCUCAUCAGUUUUCCUAGGACUAGGGUGGCCCCUAA